CUGCGGUAUUUUGACCGUGCUAAGGUAGCAUAAUCAAUUGUUUUUUAAUUGAAAACUAGUAUGAACGGUUUAAUUUACUUAAUUAGUUUGUAAUUUUUAAUAGUAAGUUAAAUAUAAAGUAAGAAUUCUUUAAUAAAUUAGGGGACGAUAAGACCCUAAAAGCUUUAUGAUUGGCAUUUAAUUAGUGAUAGCGGUGUUAUUAAUUCACUGGGGCAGUGAGUUUAGGUAUAUUUAAGUAUAAUUAAAAGCUCCUUUAAAUAAAGAUUUCAUGUAUAAGUUACUUUAGGGAUAACAGUGCAAUAUAUUUGGGGAGACCAUAUCUAUAAAUAUGAUUGCAACCUCGAUGUUGAAUUAAAAUA
RNAcentral lists this ribosomal RNA (359 nucleotides) under Dikerogammarus haemobaphes. RNAcentral's name for it is "partial 16S ribosomal RNA". The record is from RNAcentral. Lineage: Eukaryota; Metazoa; Arthropoda; Malacostraca; Amphipoda; Gammaridae.